Molecule: ribosomal RNA, 331 nt
Filed under: Symbiodinium sp. Y-6
Lineage: Eukaryota; Dinophyceae; Suessiales; Symbiodiniaceae
Description: SSU rRNA
Rfam family: Eukaryotic small subunit ribosomal RNA
Source: RNAcentral
GUCUCAAAGAUUAAGCCAUGCAUGUCUCAGUAUAAGCUUCUACACGGCGAAACUGCGAAUGGCUCAUUAAAGCAGUUAUAAUUUAUUUGAUGGUCACUGCUACAUGGAUAACUGUGGUAAUUCUAGAGCUAAUACAUGCACCAAAACCCAACUUCGCAGAAGGGUUGUAUUUAUUAGAUACAGAACCAUCGCAGGCUCUGCCUGGUUGUGGUGAUUCAUGAUAACUCGAUGAAUCGUGUGGCUUGGCCGACGAUGCAUCUUUCAAGUUUCUGACCUAUCAGCUUCCGACGGUAGGGUAUGGGCCUACCGUGGCAAUGACGGGUAACGGAGA